Molecule: long non-coding RNA, 582 nt
Organism: Zingiber officinale
Lineage: Eukaryota; Viridiplantae; Streptophyta; Magnoliopsida; Zingiberales; Zingiberaceae
Exons: 4
Source: RefSeq, a predicted model, not a curated record
UGCCUUUCCUCUAUGCCCUAGCAUCUCUGCCGAUGCCACUGUCUCUCUUUCUCCCGACGCCGAGCAGCACCGAGCCCUAGGUGCCAACGCCGUCGACGCCUUUUUCCGACCUCUUCUGUGCCACUCCGAGACUCCUUGUCCGAGUUCUCACCGUGCCCUAGCCCCCGCUCAGCAGAUAGCCGGCUGCCAACACUCAAAGCAAUUGUCGAUUUGUAGCCUCUGCCCUAGCCUCUGUUUCCGACGCUGGUAAGGGUUCUGCCGUGGCCACCACUUGGGAUCUGUAUGUCGUCGUCGCCCCUUUGCUCUGGUUUACUGCCUCAGUAGCCCUUGCUGGAAACAACACCGGUGACCUAACUCCUCCGUCCUCUAAUCCAGUGAGCUACUGGAUGAAGCAUCAAGAGUUUGUUGCUGUCUCUGUUUGAUUCCGGCCACCACCCCCUGUCAACAGCUUGACACACCUGAGUAGGAAGGAUUCCAGCAGCAAACGAUCCUACUUCCAACAGUGAUAAAACGGCUGUGAGUUUCAGGAUCUUGACGCGAGACGAGUAUCUUGGAGUCAGAUUUGGAUCACUUUAUUGGAGG